This 450-nucleotide ribosomal RNA is filed under the name uncultured bacterium. RNAcentral describes it as "partial 16S ribosomal RNA". It matches the Rfam family "Bacterial small subunit ribosomal RNA", at positions 354 to 796 of the family's 1533-position model. The record is from RNAcentral.
GUGGGGAAUAUUGGACAAUGGGCGAAAGCCUGAUCCAGCCAUGCCGCGUGUGUGAAGAAGGUCUUCGGAUUGUAAAGCACUUUAAGUUGGGAGGAAGGGCAGUAAGUUAAUACCUUGCUGUUUUGACGUUACCAACAGAAUAAGCACCGGCUAACUUCGUGUCAGCAGCCGCGGUAAUACGAAGGGUGCAAGCGUUAAUCGGAAUUACUGGGCGUAAAGCGCGCGUAGGUGGUUCAGCAAGUUGAAGGUGAAAUCCCCGGGCUCAACCUGGGAACUGCCUCCAAAACUACUGGGCUAGAGUACGGUAGAGGGUAGUGGAAGUUCCUGUGUAGCGGUGAAAUGCGUAGAGAUCGGGAGGAACAUCCGUGGCGAAGGCGGCCAUCUGGACCAGCACUGACACUGAGGCACGAAAGCGUGGGGAGCAAACAGGAUUAGAUACCCCAGUAGUCC